UACAAUGCUCUAUGAUUUUAGUUUUCUAACAGUACUGCCAAAUCUAUGUUGUACAAUCCACUUACUUAACAAACAUUAUUAUUAAGAUUUAUGCGUUAUUCCAAUAACUCAUAUAUAACUUACCAUUACAACGGAGCAAAGCUAAAAGAUUUCAUUAUAAUUAUAUAUAUGAACUCCUUUGGCAUUACUAAUUAUCAAUAAGCUCUCGCACACUUCGGGGCAUAGGUGCAGCCAUAUCGGUGAAGACAAGCGAUCUGGCGAUGAUGACAAUUGUUGUAAUUUCAACAUUUGUUGCAUGGAAUGAGAUUACUGUAAUGCAAGAUAUGUGGUUUCUUGCGGGUGGAUUCAGACCCCAACUUCAUCUCCUCAUUAACGUCAAUGAAAUGUCCACUAUUUUUAGACUCGAGAUCAACAGAAUUUGUAUUGUCAUGUCCUAAUGAUGGUUGAAUCAACAUAACCAAGCAUAGGAGAAAAAGAAAAAGUAACACCAGACGUGAAAUCAUAUUGUGAGAGUCAAUAGUGACACACACAACAAAGAUAAAAAGGAAGGAACUUUGAUGAGGAGAUGAAGUUGUGAGAGUCCCCUAUAUAUAGGGGACUUUGUUUGUGGAGGCAAAGCUCAUGGGAAGAGGAGACUAAGAGCAUAUGAGCAACGUGUAUGGAUUUUGUGAUAAAAAAAACAUCAAACAUGCAGUCUAGGUUUUUCCUUGACUUUUGUGACAAUGUAGAAAUCAAAACUUUAUAGUUUUUGUUUGGAAACUAACUAAAUUAUUGGAAUAAAUGAUUUCUUGAGAACUAAGUGAUAUCUUCAAUUCUACCUAAAUAUUUUUUUGAGGUUAGUUUUUUAAACAAUUUCAAUGAAAAUCAAAAUUAUAUCUUUCAUUUUAUAGUUUAUUUCAAAUUGUUAUCAAUGAUAUUUAAUUUUUUCUCUCUCUUUCUAUUAACCUUUUAAGACUUUUUAUAUACUUUUUAAAUGAGAGCAUUCCAUUUAGAUUGAAAAAAAAAAAUAUCAGUGAUAAAUUUGUUAAGUUGUACAUAAAAUUAUGAAACGUAACUUAUUUCUUUAAAAAAUUGCGUUUAUUGGAAUAUGAUUGUGAAUGCCUUGUUUGUUUACAAAUAAUCAAGAAAUGAGCACUGUGAGGCUCUAUUUUUUUAUGACUUUAAUUUUCCCUAGUUUAAUUAUGACUACGUGGUUCCAACCAAAUUCAAGAGCUAACCAUAAAUGUUUAUCGAUUGAUUUGAGAAAAAUCAUCAUUAAAGGUUUUCCAACAUUCAUAGUUUGUGAGAUGCAAUCUUCAUCUCAGGGUACCUUCGCAAAAGAGCCAACACAAAUAUUGGCCAUUUGAUUUAGUGGUGUUGACGUCAAAAUUAGCAAGGCUAAUCUUAAGCCAACUUUAAGAAAAAUGGGAAUUUAUUGUUGAAAAAGACUACAAAAUACGUUGAGAAAGUGUAAUGGUAUCAUAAGCUUUUACAUGAAUUCGCUCUUUUUUUACAAGAGUUCUACUCAACUAUUUAUACAUAGUUUCAGCCGAAAUCACAUCAAAUCAGUCAAAUCAACUACAGUACCGAGCUCGAAACUCGGGUCGCCGAAUUCUCCUGUGAUUGGUUGACGAGAUCGGUGGCCAUACGUCAAUGUUUUUCUCAGGUAAUGAUGACCUGCAAGAGGCUUGAGGAUCAGGUCUUCGGAUUGGCGGUUGUGGACGGUGAUGACGUCACUUGUGGCAAGUGUAUAUGAUUGAUAGGGUGAUUUGAUAGGAAGUAAUCAUGAUAUUUUUCUGAGAUAACGACGGGCGAGUCCGAGCUGGGAGCAGUGACCAAAAUCACACUUGCCUGAAGUGGAUUUAGCUAAUUGUUUUUGUUAGAUUGGAGUUCGGUUGUCAACAGUCACCCCUAGGUCUGUUUUGUCGUAGGAGGAAGCAGACCUUUUUACCCAAUUGGUUCUCUUUUCAAGAAAUAUAAUUAUCACGGUGCCAAGUGUCCCGUUUGGACAGGGAUGAGCUGUUAAGCACUUUUAGGUUGCUUCUCUAGGAAGUUUUGCCAUAAAACUACGUCAUUUUAACUUGCAGGUUUCUGGGCCGUUUGAUAUUUCCCUCCAGUUUUUGAAUGGGCGGCCCAGACUGAAACCCUCUAACUUCCCAUCUCUUAAAUUCCUUUUGGCUUUUCAUUUUAUUCUUUUGCUUUGCACGAUUAUUCUCUCAAAAACAAUAGGUGAUUUUUCGAGUUUUUUUUAUUUUCAUAUCCCGAUUGAGGUCAACGUUCUUCAGUUCUCAGGUAUUCCUUUGCUUCCUCUUACUUUCUGUUAGUGCUCUUCAUUCAGCCCAUACAUGAGCUCAGACGAAUCUUGGGUACAUUCGUGGGGAAACCAGCAAGAAGAGUCCAUCCCUUCCAGUCCUAGUUCUUCAUCCAGCUGUCGAGAAAUUUUAACUCCCGUCCCGAUUUCUGUAGUUAACUCGAUGGACUUGGAGCGUCCUAUGAGUCAGGAGGAGAGGAGGUUGGUUCUCAUGGGGGGAAUGAGGAUAAUAGUCCAAAUGAGUGGGGGGCUAGCUCAUAUAAUUCAAUUGUUACAGGUGACAUGUUGGCUUGCUAAAGGGCUAUGUAUGCCAUUCCGAGCUUAGUAGUUGUGAUAAUACUAGAGCCAUCUGACUGAGCUGAUAUUCCCCCAGAGGGAUGUGUUGCUCUAAACUCGACUAUUCUUUAGGCCGGACUUAGGCUUCCAUUCCCUAGAGUGAUCUGUAAAUUUCUAUCUAUCUGGGGCGUAGCUUCCACACAGUUGUGCCCUAAUGGGUGGCGAACCCUAAUUGCCACCCUUAUCCUUUGGGACAAGAUGGGGAACUCCGAACUGAGCGUUAAGCAAUUUGAUUCCCUUUUUACCUUUAAAGAUGAUGGGAAGAACUCUAGCUGGUGGUAUACCAACGUUAGGCGAAGGACGGGGGGUUCACUAGUGUUAGAUACUCCUUCCUCAAUCAAAAAAUGGAAAGAAGAGUUCUUUUACGUGUUUGGGGAGUGGCAAUUCUAUCCUUCCGAGGUGAAUAGAGAGGAUGUGGUUUCCCAGCUGUACCACUCUUUGUGUAAGUUAUUUAUGAUCUGAUCUUUUGACGAGAUGAGCAUUAAUGUAGUACUGACCUUUGCCCUAUUUGCAGAUUACAAGAAAGAGACCCUAACCAAGGACAUGCAGCGACGAGCUGAGGUGAUAAGGGCAUUGCCAAAAAGGCAGAGGUCUUGUAAGUUUGUGAUUUUGGAUUCGAAUUUGUUCCAAGCAAGCUUGGUACAAGUUCGAACAUCCAAUCCAUCCAUUCCUAGGGUGUCUACUUCAAACCCGUCUGACCCAAGUAAUAGCUGAACUUACUGUUUGUUAUUAACGAUAUUAUUAUUAUUAUAACACACUAAGCACUUUUUUUUUAGGUCGUCGUGCCGAGAUGUUGGGUUAUAAAGCAGCCAAGGCAGCAGCUGCUGCUAAAGGGAAAAAGAGGGAGGCCCUUGUAGUGGUGGAAAGUCAUUCAGAGGGGACUGAGAAGGAAACUCAACCUCUUAAGAGGAACCUGUCACUGACGCCAGGCGCACCUCUGCCGCCAAUGACUACGACUCUGACUGCUUCUUCCUCGAGAUCUUCCCCAGUAGUUUUCCCUUCCAGCUCAAUACCGGUUGCCAUUCCGAUGUCGAAGCUACCGACGAUAACAAUGUCAUCCUCCCCACCCCGAGUGUACCAGUGGCCGUAUCAACCAGCUCAAUGAGGUCACAAGAUCAAUUUCCAGACCUGUAGCAGUCGAGCUUGGAAAGUUUAAUGGGCCAUCAGCCAGAAAUCUUCCUGGAUUUUCUACGAGACCCUUCUCCUUCGAGGGAGACUGUGGCGGCCUUUCCUCCGCCCUCCGUAAAUCUGAAAAUCUUCUUAUGAGGAGCUGGGGGAUAAAACGCAGCACUUUCUGGCAGAAAUGCCUAUUGGGAAGGCCGUGGCCAUCGCCCAGCUCCAUAGCCACCGUUCCAUAUUAUACAUGACGUUGGUGGCUGAUAAGGUACUUCUUCUGAAAUUUGUGCUUUGUAGGCUCGUAACUUCUCGUAUUUAACUUCAUUUGUUAACUUAUAUUUUAUUAUUUAGAUAAAAGCCGAUCUUGAUAAGUUGUUGGAGGCUAUGGACCGAAGGCACAUUUCCUCGGGUUUAACUUCAUUCCAUACUUUCUUAAGAUAUCGAACAUCUCAGCCAAGUGCCGACAGUGGUCUUUGGCCUUGGUGCUUUUUACCAACAUGUCAUCAACAUACACUUUCAUUAUUUUUUCGAUCUACUAGGAAAACAUGGAAUUCACAAGUCGUUGAUAGGUGGCACCAGCGUUUUUAAAACCAAAUGGCAUUACUCUAUAGCAGUAAAGAUCUCGGUUAGUUAUAAACGAGGUAUGUUCUUGAUCUGGGCCGUACAUUGGUAUCUGGUUAUAUUCGAAGUACGCAAACAUGAAGCUGAGUAGUUAGUGUUCCACAGUGGCGUCCACCUUUUGAUAUAUUUUUGGUAAAGAAAAACUAUCUUUAGGACAUGUUUUGUUGAGAUCGGUGAAAUCUAUGCAUACCCUCCAAUCUCCAUUGUAUUUUUUCAUAAGGGCAAGAUUUGCAACCCACUUUGGGUAUUUUUCCUCACGAAGGAAACUGUUGUGCAAUAGUUUUUGCACCUCCUUGUUGAGUGUUUUAUAUCUUUCAGGGUUCAGAGGUCGUCAUUUUUACUGCUACGGCCGAAUUGAAGGAUCCCUCUGUAAUUUGUGGCAGGCGAUUUUGGAAUCUAUCCCUCUCAUGUCCCCCUGAUUCUAGGCAAAGACAUCAAGGUUUUGUCUAAGAAAGGCCACAAUUUCGCUUCGGGUGAAGGGCUGCAGCUCGCCCCCGACUUUGAGUUCUUUUGAUGGGUCAUCGACACAAAUUUGAACUCCCUCUAGCUCUUCGACGGGUUCUCCACCUUCGACCUUGGUCCGCAGAUCUAAUGGAAUGAGCUUGAAUUCCCAUUUAUUAGCCAUAUGUACUCCCGAGGGGGUAUGUUGAUGGCAGUGUAGGGUUUCAAUUAACAUCUUUCGAAGAGAUUCCUGUUUCCUUUGAUUUCACCCACACCAUGGGAUGUAGAGAAUUUGAUUGAAUAGUGGUACAGAGACAUUGCUGCUCUCAGGGUAAAUAGUAGGGGCUGUCCCAUUACAGCAUCAUAAGACGAUGGAGUGUCGAAUACUACGAACUCGGAGUUCGUCUUCACUUGCCGAGGUGCUAAUCCUGACUCGACUUUGAGUUUGAUCAAUCCUUUGGCAGAAGUCAGGACUCCACUUAGUCCAAGGACCAUAUUUGAGUACGAUCACAGGAAGUUAGUAGAGAUACCCAUCCAUUUGAGAGUGUUUCUGAAGAGGAUGUUUAGAGCACUCACCGUAUCCACUAAGACUUUGGAGAUGAUUACCCCAGCUAUAUGCAACGAGAUUACUAGAACUUCGGGAUAAAGAUGUGGAUCCGCCUCUUUUUCGUCAAAGGAUAAUUGCUCAUAUGUGGCUUUCUUGAGGUGCUUCUCUGUUAUGCCGAUCUUAGAGAGAUCCACAACAAUUGGACCCUUCAGUCUGGCUUCCCCGGCUUGCUUGUUCACCCUAUCCCUUAGUAUGUUGACUUGUGGCUUUGGCAGGUCGAUAUUGGAUACCCUUGCUCCAGCUUAAUCCCCUCGAAUUAUUGCAGUCCCGUAAGGAGUGCGGAAUUUCAUACAAUAAUGAUAAAUUGAUGUAGCAGCUUUUAGCUCGUGCAAAAUGGGUCGCGCUAAUAUUGCGUUAUAGUUGAAUGGCAGAUCGACUACCACGAAAUCUGCUAAGAUCCUUCUUUGGUGAGGAGCUUCGCCUAGCUCUACAACAAGGAUGAUCUUACCUCGGGCUUCAAUAGGAUCUCCGGAGAAUCCCUGUAGUUUACUUGAGUACGUUGAAGAUAGCGCUCCGAUAUUUCCAACUGCCUCAAAGUUCGUGAGUACAGUAUGUUGAUCGAACUUUUGUUGUCUACCAAUGUCCAGUGAACUUUUACUCCGGCAACUGGCAUUGUGACCAUUAGGGCGUCUCUUUGGUCUUGGAGGAUUCCGUGAGAAUCUUGCUCCGUGAACCAGAACCAUUCCGAGUCUAUCCCGAUCCAUGGGGUUUGAUCCCAGUAGUUCGGCAUGAUCCUUGCACUUCGGGCUUAUCUUCGUCUCACCCUCCUAGAUCCCUCAAUAUACUGAUUUUCUCCAAUCAUCAUUUUGAUUUCGACGCAUGGGGGGUAAAUUACGAUUAGGGACUGUCUGCUGAGCUCGUUCGGAAGGCCCAUGUAGCAGCGAUUGCUGCGUCGUAGGUCGAUCUCCCUCUUUCGGUUUGGCAACAAACUCCUGUAACCGACCUCUGCGAAUCAAGGACUCAACUUCCUUCUUUAAUUCCCGAUAGUUAUCAAUGUCAUGACCCACCAUCCUGUGUAUCGACAGUAUCGUCCCUGUUGGUGUUCUUCCUGCCCGUUCUUCUGGAUCAUAGGCCUACGAAAUGCCUCUUUUUCAUUAGUUUGUGUGAAUACUUCUUCCAAGGAGGCUUUGAGUGAGUGGUAUUCCCAAAAUAUGUAUGGCUGAGCCUUAGGAUGUUCUCUUUCUGUCCUAUACUUCUUUCUUUUGGGCUAAGGACUACAACUUAUUUUUUUCUCUUUCACCGUAUUGUUGAGGUUAGGUUCGCAUCUGGCUUCUUCUUGGUCAGAGGUUGCUUCUUCAGCACUUAUGUAUGUCUCAGCUUGGUUCAAGAACUCGUGAUAAGUUCUUGAGCCGUCCUCGUAUAUUGACCACCAGAAUCUCGUUCUGGGCCUAGGUCCUGCUAAUACGGCCAUGAGUGCUACGUCAUCAGAUAUUUUUUCCACUUUCACGGAUUGCUUGUUGAAUAUGCUCAAAUAGCUUUUGAGGGAUUCGCUUCUUCCUUGUUUGAUGCUUGCUAGCCAUUCUUUGGGCGUGGUUCUGGCCUUGGAGCCCAUGAAUUGGGCCAAGAAUGUCGUGGCCAGAUCAUUCCAAUUUUUUACCGACCUCUAGUGCAAUCUCCUAAACCACCUCUAAGCUUUGUCUCCUAGGGUCAAGGGGAAUGCCAAGCACAUGAUGGUGCUGCUUGCUCCCUGCAGUUCUAUCCACAAGGUGUAUUUGUCAAGGUGGCUGAGGGGAUCACCAUCUCCUUCGUACGUGGCUAUCUGGGGGAUCUUCAAUUUUUCAGGUAAUGGAUCCAUAAGGACGUCCUCAGUAAAGGGGGAGUGUCGCUUAGUGAGAUAGUCUUUAGUGUCACCUUUGUUUUUAGCCUCCAAGUCAGCUAUGCGUCUUUUCAGCGCACUCAACUCGGGCUUUGUCUGCUCCAAAGGACAUUUAAGGUCGAGGUUGGUUUGUCCUCGCGUAGGGGUUAGCGAGUGCUGGGUCCCAGUCUGUCGAACACGCUGCAAGUCCUUUUUGCCCCGGGAUCCUUACUUUUGACUUCAUCAGUUCGACUUUUUGAGGACUCUCCUCUUGAAAAGUGAAGAGUCCUCCUGGUAGGGGGAUGUCUUGCUCGUGUCCUCACAGGAGAUUCUACCUCGAUAUCUGGUGGGGACAAGUGGGCUUGACUCCGUUCCAAUCGUCCCACUGCAUUUGUCAGUUUUUCUAGGGCUUCUCUCAUGACGGUCAUCUGAGGGUCUUGUCGUGGAGGACUUGGUGGAGUAUUCAUUUCAUGAGGGUGGGUGUGAGAUAGGUUUCUAGAACUUGAGCUAUGACUUAUGGCUCUCUGAUUUUGUGGGGAGAAUAAGGCUAUUUUCACAAUUGGGGCCCUCCUUCUAGCGCCAAACUAUUGACGUCAAAAUUAGCAAGGCUAAUCCUAAGUGAACUUUAAGAAAAAUGGGACUUUAUUGUUGAAAAAGACCAAAAAAUACGUUGAGAAAGUGUAAUGGUACCAUAAGCUUUUACAUGAAUUCGCUCUUUUUUUACAAGAGUUCUACUCAACUAUUUAUACAUAGUUUUAGCCGAAAUUAUAUCAAAUCAGUCAAACCAGCUACAGUUCCGAGCUCGGAACUCGGGUCGUCGAAUUCUCCUUUGAUUGGUCGACAAAAUCGGUGGCCAUGUGUCAAUGUUUUUCUCAGGUAAUGAUGACCUGCAAGAGACUUGAGGAUCAGAUCUUCGGAUUGGCGGUUGUGGGCAGUGUUGAAGUCACUUGUGGCAAGUGUAUAUGAUUGAUAGGGUGAUGUGAUAGGAAGUAAUCAUAAUAUUUUUCUGAGAUAACGGCGGGCGAUUCCAAGUUGGGAGCAGUGACCGAACUCACACCUACUUGAGGUGGAGUUAGCGAAUUGUUUUUGUUAGAUCGGAGUUCGGUUGUCAACAAGUGGUAUUAUUGUUGCUUUGGGUGCUAUCUUUGGGUGCUAAAGGACCAGUGUUCAAUUCUUAGAAUGCCUUUUUUUUUUUUUUUUUUUUUUUUUUUUUUUUUUUUUUUAGAUCGGAGUUCGGUUGUCAACAAGUGGUAUUAUUGUUGCUUUGGGUGCUAUCUUUGGGUGCUAAAGGACCAGUGUUCAAUUCUUAGAAUGCCUUUUUUUUUUUUUUUUGUUAUUCUUCUUGUGUUUCGUUUUUGGCUCUUUCUCUUUUUUAAUUUUUUGUGUCAAAUCCAUUGGACCUCAAAAAUGAUUGAAUAAAAUUAAUAUAGUUGUAUUCCAAUUUAUUUUUCUGUUCUUGUAAAAUUACAAAAGGUCAGCAAAAAAUAAAACAAAAAGAACAUAGAAAAAAUGAUGUCUUUGGAGAAUGCAAAAGUGAAAAUUUAUGGGCAUUCCAAGAACUGAACUCGGGACUUCUUGCACAUAAGUGAAGGUCAUACCACCAUGCCAAAAUGACCUUUACAGUAUUAUAUUUGAAAUACUUAAAUAUUUCAUGAAUGCAAAUGAAAACUGUGACUAUGAAUUCUUCCAUUCAGUGUAAUUCCUUAUCGUUCAUUAAUAAAGUAUUUAAUAAAUUUAUUUUUUUAGUCAUAGCGCUCAAUCUCGCUCUUAGUAGUAUCCUCAAUAUUUGUUAGCAUCUCAUCUUCGUGAUGGUAUUUGGUAAUCAGGGGCAGACCCAUUAAGAGUUUAGUGGGUGCAGUUACCCCCACUGAAUUUUCAAAUACCUUCGACUGAAUUUUUUUAAAUUUAAAUUUAAAUUUUCAGAUUUUUUUUGUUUCUUUCAUAAUUUAUUUUAGCUCAUUUUCUGUUUUGCCCCCAACGAAUCAUAAUCCUGAGUCCAUCACUCCUUAAUCUUAGACCCCGAUUGCGUCAUAACUCGAAAUAAUUAAGAACCUAGUUCAAUUUUUUAACUGAGAUGCAACUUCUAUAAGAUCACUCCACUCCAUCAAGCACAAAAAAUGUCUUCUAACUUUUGAAGAACAAAAGUUGCCAAGAACUUAUGCAAUCAAAGCUUCGAUAGCCGUCCUCUCUUUUUCCAAGAACAAAACGUAGGGCUGGAUUUUGGGAGUUCAAGGCUUCACUAUAUUCACUGAAGAUACUUUUGUGCAGUUCAGGCAUUAACCAUAAAUUCCAGCACCCUAUACUGUAUAUAUAAUCGAUUUUUGUUUCUUAAUAGCGCUUAUAAAGAAGCAAAUAAAGCUUCUCUCCAAUUCUGUGAAAAUUUAGUUGUAAUGCAAUUGAAAUAAUAUUCUUUACUCCAUAAGUCAAUUAUAAAGUAUGUGUGAUAAUAUUGAAAGGUAUAAAAGACAAGACAUAUAUGAAUAUAUGAUAAUUUCCCAAGUCACAUGAAUCAUAAUCAAUGCACAAAAUAUCUGACUCCACGCUAACAAACUGAAUCAACUAAUGCAUGACACGGAAAUUCCUUAAACUUUUUUAAAUUACUCACUAAAGGUUCAAAUUUGUUUAAUUGAAACAAAUAUGUUAAAAACAUAUUUUACAACAAUAAAUAAAUAUAAAUGUUAGAGUAUGGUUACGGAAUUCUAUUGGGCUCAGUCCGAAAAGCUCAUGGUGCGAAAUAUGUGGUUAAACCAAAAUUACAAAAUAAAUAAAUAGAAAUCUAAUUCUAUCAUCCAUUGUACUCAUUUUUGAUGUAAUGGAUAUCUCUUCUGACCUUGAUUUUUUUUUUUUUUGGUCUAGAAUUUUCUUGUAAAUUUGUGUAUUCUAGUUAUCAUUUUUCACUGUCUAUUCUCAUUUUUUUCAUAACAAAAAUUAAUUAUUGUAAUUACCGCAUCGUCAAGAAACCAAAGAGUAAUUUCAGUUCUUAAUAAAACAAAAUACAAUAAUAGAUAUGAUGGGACAAUAGAGUACGAUGCACAAUGAUUUUAGUUUUCUCACAGUACUACAUAAUCAAUGUGUACAAUCCACUUAAUUAACAAACAAUAUUAUAAGAAUAAUGUUUGUUGAAUAGCUUCAAUGACAAUACUUUAGACUAGGUUUUAAAAGGAUUUCGCUACAGCAACAGCGGGUUGACAUGAUUGAUGUAGCAUUGAACAUACGAAUUGUAGGAAAACGCAAUAUGUGAUGAUGGAGAGACAAAGCAAGGAUGGAGACAUAAAAUGUGGGAAACAAAAUGAAACCCUGAAAAACAAUUCCGACAACAGUGAAUCCCGAAAUGAUAAAUCCCUGCAUCCUUCGGCCAAAAUAGUUGAAUUCCGAAGUUAGCCGGCAUCAUCAUGUAUAUAUUAAUGUCUGAUCUAAUGCAUGACAUAGAGAAUUCAUUUGCUCAGAGAAUAGUAUGCAUAAUAUCAAAUGUUGAUCUCGUUUCUGGUUGGGGCCACACGGACAACAGAUACUGGAUCCACCCGCGCACACGUGAGCUAAAUCCAACACGCUAAGACAUACAAACGAUCUAGAACGCCCAGAGAAAGGGCGUGGGAGUAGCUUAAAAAUUCGGUGAUACAUUUAUAAAACGAUUGUACAAUAAUUACCAAUCGUAGAGGAUGAACACUAAGUAAACUUAGUUGUAUUUGUAAGACAGUAAAAUUGAACGAAUUGUUUUGUAUUCAAAAUUUCAUUAGCCUUACAAUGGUGACAUAGGAGAGUAUUUAUAGUAGUGCAAGGUGAAUUAUGGCCCUCGAAUGGGAAUACAUGUGGCCUCAUCUCCUUGAUCCAUACAUCUAAUCCUAGGUAUUAUUUUUGACUUGUUAGCCCACUUUACAUUUAUUAAGUAGCAGAACCUCGACUUUGUCUGAUAAGACUUAACACAAACUCUAUGAUAGACGUCCCAUCAAUCAUUUGAAGAAGACACUUGUGUAUGGACAGAUCUCUUGAAAGAAGUGAUAGUGAAGACGCUUAGGAAGCAUAGUUUCGACGCAUGGCUAUUUAAAUCUUAUCUAACUCUUUACCGGACUCUAAUUCAAUAUCCUCUUCUUCGACUAAUUCGUCCUCCAUGUCUUCCGAUACAAAUGGUUGCUUUAAAUUAAGCAAAAUGAAGAAAUUAGCCAUUGAUAAUUUUUUAACAACACAAAAUUAAAAAAAGGAUGAUAAUGCACGUCAAUGCGCGCAUAAUUGUGCCUAGGCACGCCUUAGCAAUCGUUGACUACUCAAGCCACUUGACUUGACGUUUUAACCGAGCAUCAUGCCUAGGUGGCGCCAAGGCGUGCAUUGACGUCGCCUUUUAGAACACUGUAAUUUUUCAAUAAAAUAAUUUUAUAAGUAAAUUCAAAAUUCAAUAUUUACAAACUUUAUUGUCAGAAAAAUAGGCAGUCUCAUGUGGCAAGUGUAACAACGUCUGUGAGUGGUGGUAGGACUUGGAAGUAUUAGUGUGGUCCAUAAUGAGCCCAUUAAUCUAUUCUCCUUUGAUUCCACCUCCAAGAAAAAGAAAGUUGGUGAAGCCAACAUGGUCCAUAACGAGCCCAUUAUUAACCCACAAGAUAAGGAAUGGAAAAUUACACCCACACCUGAUUUUUAAGUUUUCAAUUAAAAAAUGAAGUUUAAAAACUUUUUAUUCAAAAAUUAGGUGAUUAUUUAUUUUUAAAUAAUAAUAUUAAAUUAAAUUAAAUUAAUACCUACCUAUCACAGCCACUCAACUCAAUUAAAAUUUCAAACCCUAAUUCAUUUUCCUAACUAAACUCUCUCUAUCUUCACUCUUUUUAUCCAUCUCUCUUCACCCAUCUAAACUCUCUAUUCCAACGUCGGCACAGCUCCUCUGAAAAUGAUGCAACCAUCGAUCCUAUUCAUCAAGCACAGUGAAGCAGCAUCGCGGUGCGUAGCUGUGCUUUGCUGCAGUAGCAUCGUUGCUUUUGGCAUCGACGUCGCUUUUCUGACAGGAUGUGGCCGUCGAUCGACGCACAGUGAAGCGGUAUCGUUGUGCGUAGCAACACUUUGCUGCGAAAUAGAGAUCGAGUGUAGCUCUGCCUCAAGGUCGUCUUCUCCAGUUUGGAGUUUUAGGAGGUUUGUUGGUGUUUUGCAAAUGGUGGUGGUUUGCAGGUGAUGGUGAUGGUUGUGGUGGUUUUAGUAGCGAUAGUGCUGGCAAAGGUGAUGCAGUUGGUAGUGGUGGUGGUUCUGUAAUGGUUUCAGGUGGUGAGGUAGCGUUCAAGCAAGUGAUGGCAGUGGUUGUGGCUGCGAUCGUACCAAUGGGGAUGCUAUAGUUGGUGGCGAUGGUUUCAGGUCGUGGUGGUGAUUUUGGUAGUUGUUUUGGGUGGUGAUGUGGCAUUCUAUUAGUGGGUGUGCGGGCGUGGUUGAAUUUUGAGUGAUUGCAGCAAAUAUAUUAGUUAAUUUGUGACCAAUAAAUAAAUAUGUAACCUAAAAAAAUAUGAUGGUGACUCAUAAUUUAUUAAGUUGUUGAUAGUAGAUUGGAUCUGAUUGGGGCGAUUUUGUUGGUGGUGGUGUGGUUGUGAUUGUGGUGGCGACGACGAUGAUGAGUGAGGGUGAUCGCAAGUGGUCGUGAUAGCAGUGGUUGUGGUGAUAUUGUUGGCGGUGAUGAUAUGUUUUAUGUGACCAAUUAUUUGAUUUAUCGGUGACCAAUUAUUUAAUCACGUGACCUUAAAAUUUGAUAAUUUUGAAUAAAAAACAAUCUAUGACCAAAAAAUUUGAAAAUGUGUGACUGAUAGAUGAGUUUUGAAUUAUAUUUUUUUAUUCAUGACCAAUGAAAUAAACUUUGAGCCAUAAAACUUUUAAUUUGCGACCUCGAAAUAAUCUAUGAUUUACAAAAUUUUUGAUUUGUGACCUCGAAAUAAUCUAUGAUUUACAAAAUUUUUGAUUAGUUCAGAAAGAAAGAUCAUGCCGCUAAGAAAGGUGCAUUGAGGUCUGUCUUCCUAAUCAUAAGAAUCUAGACGCCCUGAUUUGAUACUUUAUGGCUUUUGGGCCACCCACGACAAAUAUACAAAAAAUUAUUCAAUCACUCAAAAAGCAAGGAAGAGCUUCUCCGUUCUAACUGUAUUUGCUUGAAAGAAGUGAAAGCACAAAUCUUUGAGAUGAUUUGAGUAAGCUUUGUUUUGAAAAUACCAAAAAUUCAAAAGCAAUUGAAAAUGCACAUUAUACAAGACCGAUCCAAGAUUAGCAAAUCCUUAAAUCUCACAUGUUAAAUAAAACAAAGAAGUAGAAAAAUUAAGGGGGUGUUCUCUUUGUGUUUCAGUUUUGUGUUUUGAGUUUUGAAUUCAUUUUGAGUUUUGUAUUUUGAGUUUUUGUUUUGAAAUUCUUGAAAAUACGUUCUUUUUGUUAGUUUCUCAAAACAAAAAAAAAUAAUUUUUUUUUAAAAAUUUUGAGAAUCACCACAACACCACUUCAAAAUACCAAAAAAAAAAAUUAAAUUUUUUUUUUUUUAAAUUUUGAGAAUCACCACACUAUCUCCUCAAAAAAAAAAAUUUUUUAAUUUUUUAUUUUUUUUGAAAUUUUGAGAAUCACCACACCACCUCCUCAAAAAAAAAAAAAAAAAAAGUGUUUCCCGCGUUUUCAAUUUUUUCAAGUUUUACACUGAAAACGCCGAAAACGACAAAAAAGUCGUUUUGUGUUUUCUUCACAAUUUUUUUUCGUUUUCGAAAACGUUUUCGAAAAUUCGUUUUCGAAAACGGGAAAGAGAACACGUUUUCACCGUUUUGAAAAAUCGAAAACAGAAAACGACCCGAAAACGGUAAAGAGAACAGGGCCUAAUUAUUCACGAAAAUGUUCAGCUCUUCCUAUGUUCAUCAUUGAACAACAGUCUUAACCCUUGUUUGAUCCCCAUUUUGGGAAAAAUAAUGCAUUUUGAAUGGUAGAUUAAGGAAGAAUGUGUGGUUAAAAAUUAAAGGAAAGUUUUGAAUUUGUGUGUAAUAUUAUUUUAUUGAAGAAUGUGUGGUUAAAAACGAGUUUUGAAAAAAAUGAAUUUUUAAAAGAAUGAAAAUCAAACAAGGGCUUAAUUUUCAUAUUAGAGAUUCUAAAUUUUCUUGAAAAUAUCUAACUUGUUAAAAAAUGUGACAAUUCCAACUACAUUACAGUUAUCUUCAAUAACCCAAACAUAAUUCGCUCGAUGUACAAUAGCCUUUACAAUCACUGCCACCAAUCAACUUCCCGGAUGGCACGAUAUUGCCUCACCAUUUGUGACGAGUAGUUGUUCGAUCUGCUAUAUCGCCCUAACUUCGACAUCAUUGUUGUCCUUGAGGAUGGCAUGCAAUUGAUUUGUCCAACGUUUUUUUUUCUAAAUUUAUAUCCUUCAAUCUACCUCAACGUCCCUGGAGAUUUAUUCUGGGGGACUUCUAGAGUCAAUGUAGGCCAUAAGGUCUCAGUCGAGAGGAUGGCGAUGUCGGCUGUGCACGAAGAGAUCUCACCAAUCAAAAUCCAAUCAUCAUUAACCACUGCCACUGAAGUUUGAUCCACGAGAGUGAGAAAUGGCCCCCACAGCCAUUUUGGACGGUUUCCAUCCAUAAUUUCGUCAGUUGACUAAAAAUUUAAUUUUGACCACAUUUUUAAUAUUUUAAAAGGGACAAAAGAGUAACCUUCUAUUUAUCAAGUUAAAUAAUUAAAUUAAAAGUAAGAAAUAAAAAACACACACGCACCCCUCAUUUUCUUCCUCUCACCUCUUAACCACCCCAUGUCAAACACAAAAUCCACUCCGACUAUCGCCACCAAAACUGAUACAACAUUCAUUACCAACCACCAGGGAAUGAUAGAGCUCGUGAUAUCAUAUUUUGUGGUUUCGUUAAUUUUCCUCAUUUAUUUUUUCCCUCUUAUCUAAUGUGCAGUCGCCGAGGGACAUUCAGGUGGACCGGAGGGUGCCUCUAAUAAAAAAUCUUGCUUAAUGUAUAGCAAAAUUUCUUUUUACUCCAUCAUAUAUACCCAAUUUCAAAAUUUAGCUGGACAACUUGAUGGCUUCUAAAUGAUGAAUAUUAUCCAAAAGCUAAAGGAUAUGUUUUAAAAGGCUACUGAGACAUUUUUCCUUUGCGGUUUGAGGAGUACGCCUUUGCACAAAUAAAAAAUUUAUGUCAAAAUUGGAAAAAUCGAUACAGAAUUUAGGAGUAGUACUCUUGAUUGAGGUGGAGGUGGUUGGUGUGGAUUUUGGGUUUGAGUUGGGAGUGGGGUGGAUGAGGGGUGAGAGGAAAAAGAUGAGGGUGUUCUGGGUGUGUGUGUUUUUAUCUCUUAUUUCUUAUUUUUUAAUUUAAUUAUUUAAUUUGAUAAAUGGAAAAUUACUCUUUUGUUCAUUUUUAAAUUAUUAAAAAUGUCGUCAAAGUUAAAUUUUUGGUUAAUUGACGGAGUUGAUGAUGGAAAUCGUUCUAGAGGGCUUCACCUGCAACGUUUGAAAAUGUUAGGGGUGACGACUAUAACAAAUAAAAAUUUUGAAGAAUAUCUACUAAUGUUUCAAAGAUUUGAAACUUCUGCUACAAUUAUCCCAUAAAACUAUUACUCCCAAGAAAUCCAAAAGAUAGAAAUGAGAGAGAGAGAGAGAGAGAGAGAGAGAGAGAGAGAGUUUGUAUGAGUUAUCCAAUAUCUAAAAGAGGGUUCCACGUGCCUAAUUAGCCCCUUAACUUUUGACAGCAAAACAGAAACAUGAUAUUGAAGGACAAACGAGCUACCAUGCAAAUUCAGACCAAAAAAUUGUAACCUUAUUAUGUUAAAGACUGAAGAAGAAAUGAACAAUACGGGUGUGUCUGUGUGUUGCACUAGUGGUUUUAUCCUUUUAUAUGGAAAAAUCAAUACAAAGUUACAUAAUGGUUUACAUACAGUUGAGGUAUCAAAGAGGUAUCAAAAGAAGAUCAAGAAGGUUUUUUUUUUUUUUUUUUUUUUUUUUUUUUGUUGUUGAAGAAAUUUUGAUCAAAUUAUAAUCUUACUACAUCAUGUGUAUAUAAAUUAUUAUGUAAAUCAUUAGUAUAUAAGAAAAGUUUUUAGGAUAAUGAUAUGUGUACAUCGAGGUUGAAAUCACCUCACAUGGAAGUGGGGCUUGCGAGUAAUAUUGUUGAUGGUUCUAUUGGUGAUGUGUAGGCAGCGAAGCUUCUAUUAUUAGUGGUGCACGUGGUCAUAUUGAGAUGGGAUGCGUUUAGUUCCUGAUGUUGUUAAGAUUGGUGGUAGUGACAAAGUGGUAGUGGUGGCGACAACCAGGCUUGAUCAAGUUUAUCUUCAUUGUGACUAUCUAUGAUCAGAUCUAUAUUAAUUGUGACUAUAAGUGACUUGGUGACAUAUAGUUACAAAUUAGACGAACUUGGUUGUAUUGUCCUAUCUCACUUAGCCCUUGUUUGGCAGUGACUAAAAUUAGAUUUUUAGUAGAUUUUGAUAAAAAUUGAUGAAAUGUGAAAAGUUGUGAGGCUCAUAAAAUAUAUUGUUAAAAUUAAUUUUAAUUUUAUUAUAUCAAAAUCUAAAUUUUUAUUAAUAUGGUAAUUUUUUGUUGUCUCAUUAAUCAUAUAAUAAACUGUCAUAUGCAUACUACGUAUAGCAACUACUGGUAGCUCUCACUAUGAAUAGCAUUAAUUAAGAUACCUAUUUUUUUUACUCCCCCACCACCCCGCAAACUUAGAACAUAAUAUUUUGCAUUAAGCAUGCAUAGUCUUCGACAUUAUAUUGAGAAUCAAUUAACUUUGAUUCAUUAUAACGACGAAAAUAUGUAAUAUCUGGAUUUUUGUAAGUUUAUUCAUAAAUUAUAUAUGGAGACCUAACACAAAUCAAUAAAGAUAAAUGCAAUCUAGUCAAAGAAAAACUUCAAUGAAACUAACUUAUAUGUGUACAUAGUAGGACACUUCAUUUAAAUCACGAUAUUUUGAAUUUUGAACUAUUCAAAAUGUACUACUUUUGCGUCCGAGGUAGUAAAAGAGAAACAAAGUGUGUGUGAUUACAAGGAUGUCAUAGUUAGAUAAUUUGAAAAUUAAAUAUCGUGAUAUGAAUAAGCGAUUUAUAUUAUGUGCAUAUUCUUCACUGAUAAAAACUUCUCUAUCGAGCUAUAUAUAUAUAUAACACCAAAUGGACCGUUAAAGGACCCAUUUGGAUUCUUGAAAAUAGUAAAUUGAUCAUUUUUUAACUGUUUAAAUUGGGAAGGAAAUUCAGAGUCUGUUUGGAAAUGAUUUUGAAAAUUGAUUUUUUGAUCGUUAGGAAAAAUGUGGGGGCCACAUGUGAGUCAAAAGUUACGGUUGGAAUGGUGAAAUAACGGUUAAAAAAAUCAAUUUUUGGGGGGUGAACAAUCACUCCCAAACGGGACCCCGGUCUCUUACUGAGAUUCCGUAAAUGACUUGCCAUGCAGUUAAGCUUCAAUAGUCGCCCUCCCUUUUCCUAGAGUAAAUCGUAUGGUUGGGUUUGCAAGUUCGAGGCUUCAGUAUAUUCACUGAGGAAACUUUUGUGCAGUCCAGCAUUAACUUCGAGUACCCUAUACUAUAUAUAUAAUCGAUUUUUGUUUCUUUAUAGCGUCUAUAAAGAAAUAAGGAAAGUUUCUCCCCUAUUACGAGAAAUUUGGUUAUGAUGCAAUUCAAAUAGUAUUCUUUAUUCCAGGAGUCAAUUAUAAAGUAUAUGUGCUAAUAUUGAAAGGUAUGAAGGCAAGAUAUAUAGUCAACAUAUAUGAUAUAUGAUUAGUUCCUAAGUCACAUGAAUCAUAAUCAAUGUUGGAAUAAAUUUCCCACGAGACCGAUUUUUCUCGUUAAAACAAAUAUAAAGUAGGCGAGGAGAGAAAAUAUUUAAAGGGUUCUCGCAUGGCAUUUACGAGCCAUUUCCCUUUCAAUAAGAAACUGUUAGACAUGUUUGCUAGAUGAAUAAAAGGUGAUACCAUAAUGGAAUUAAUUAUAAGUUAACCAAUAAAAGACAGUCAUCUAUCAUUUCUCUUUAAAUGAGCAAACUACCACAAAACCUCAAGAAAAAUCUAUAAAUAUUCCCGCCCAAGACAAAAGAUGCAUGUAUCCAAAUAUCUCAAUCUCAAAUAGUCAUUUCUCUUCUUGCUUUGAUUUGAGCAUUAUGAUUAGUGAGUUUAGAAGGACAAAAGACCAUUAGGUGAGGGGAGUUGUUGAUCCGAUUUCAAUCAUCAACAAUCAAUACACAAACUAUUUGACUUGACACGAACCAAUUGAAUCAACUAAUGAAUCACACUAAAUUUCCUUAAACUUAUCCAAAUUACUCACUAACAAAGGUUCAAAUUUGUUUAAUUGAUAAAAACAUAUUUUACCAACUAUAAAUAAAUAUAAUUGUUAAGUGAAAAACACUUAUUGCCCAGGCUCAAAGCCAGGGCUAAAAACAGGGGGGCCAAGUGGCGCCCCUCCAAAUAUAAUUGUUAAGUGAAAAACACUUAUUGCCCAGGCUCAAAGCCAGGGCUAAAAACAGGGGGGCCAAGUGGCGCCCCUCGGCGUGCAGCAAUGCUCUUGUUAAGUAUGGAUACUCAAAUCCUAUUUUACCAGUCAUUCAUUGUACUCAUUUUUUUAUGUAACUGUCUCCUCCUCUGUUUGUGAUUUUUUUCAUCUAAGAGUUUCAUGUAAAUCUGUGUGUUCUUGUUAUUAUUUUCUAUUGUCUAUCCUCCCUUUUUUGUAACAAUAAUAUUAAUAUUUUUUUUUUCAAAUGUCUUUUUCAUUGCAUCAGUACAUAGUAAAAACAAUUAAUUAUCGCAUCAACCACCAAACAACCAAAGAGUAUAUAAUUUCAGUUAGGUUUUGCUAUUUUGUACAUUGGGGUGCCCCGAUAUAAAGCUCCUCACAAUGGGGGAGCCCAUAUUUAAUUAAAAAAAUCACCCCCAAAUUGAAGGGGGCUAUAUGCCGGGGUGUCACGUAGCAAAACCCAUUUCAGUUUCUUAAUGAAACAAAAUGCAAUAAUAGAGUACAAUGCUCUAUGAUUUUAGUUUUCUAACAGUACUGCCAAAUCUGUGUUGUACAAUCCACUUACUUAACAAACAAUAUUAUUAAGAUUUAUUCGUUAUUCCAAUAACUCAUAUAUAACAUACCAUUACAAAGGAGCAAAGCUAAAAGAUUUCAUUAUAAUUAUAUAUAUGAACUCCUUUGGCAUUACUAAUUAUCAAUAAGCUCUCGCACACUUCGGGGCAUAGGUGCAGCCAUAUCGGUGAAGGCAAGCGAUCUGGCGAUGAUUACACUUGUAGUAAUUUGAACAUUUGUUGCAUGGAAUGAGAUUACUGUAGUGCAAGAUAUGUGGUUUCUUGCGGGUGGAUUCAGACCCCAACUUCAUCUCCUCAUCAACGUCAACGAAAUGCCCACUAUUUUUAGACUCGAGGUCAACAGAAUUUGUAUUGUCAUGUCCUGAUGAUGGUUGUAUCAACAUAACCAAGCAUAGGAGAAAAAGAAAAAGUAACACCAGACGUGAAAUCAUUUUGUGAGAGUCAAUAGUGACAUACACAACAAAGAUAAAAAAGAAGGAAAUUUGAUGAGGAGAUGAAGUUGUGAGAGUCCCCUAUCUAUAUAUAGGGGACUUUGUGGAGGCAUAGCUCAUGGGAAGAGGAGACAACGUG
RNAcentral lists this long non-coding RNA (19756 nucleotides) under Olea europaea (common olive). Its description in RNAcentral is "long non-coding RNA (OEUR_LNC001887)". Lineage: Eukaryota; Viridiplantae; Streptophyta; Magnoliopsida; Lamiales; Oleaceae. The record is from RNAcentral.